RNAcentral lists this ribosomal RNA (253 nucleotides) under uncultured bacterium. Its description in RNAcentral is "partial 16S ribosomal RNA". It matches the Rfam family "Bacterial small subunit ribosomal RNA", at positions 524 to 776 of the family's 1533-position model. The record is from RNAcentral.
GACAGAGGUGCCGAGCGUUAGGCGGAGUCACUGGGCUUAAAGCGUGUGUAGGCGGGUCGUUAAGUACCUUGUGAAAUCCCCCGGCUCAACCGGGGAAUGGCUGGGUAUACUGGCGAUCUUGAGCGAUCCAGGGGCAGAUGGAACAAGUGGUGGAGCGGUGAAAUGCGUAGAUAUCACUUGGAACGCCAAAGGUGAAGACAGUCUGCUGGGGAUCUGCUGACGCUGAGACACGAAAGCCAGGGGAGCGAACGGG